This is a long non-coding RNA of Hevea brasiliensis (rubber tree), 458 nucleotides long. RefSeq lists it as uncharacterized. NCBI's taxonomy places the organism in Eukaryota, Viridiplantae, Streptophyta, Magnoliopsida, Malpighiales, Euphorbiaceae. The transcript is spliced from 2 exons. The record is from RefSeq and is a predicted model, not a curated record.
UUUCAAUCUAAAUAUUGGGUUUCAAAUUUUGGUGAUGGCUUCAUCUACGAGGAACACAAGUGCACUGAAGGUUGCUGUAAUUCUAAUCUUUUGUCUGUUACUACAACCUUCUUAACCGGCAGUUGGGUUGAAGUUUUCAAGAUACAAGUAUGAGAAUAUGAAAGAAAGGGAAAAGUUGACAGGUUCGACUCCUCCUGAUUGCAAGAAUAAGUGCUGGGGCUGCUCUCCAUGCGCACCAGUUGUAGUCUCUGAUCAGCCUCUAGGGCCCUCCACAAUCUUGUCAUAAUCAAAAUGACAACUAUCCUACUGUAUGGAAAUGUAAAUCUGGAAAUAAUCUGUAAGAUCCUUGAAAUUGAUAUAUUAUGGAUUAGGAAAGCAACUUCUAUGGGACAAAGUCCUGAAUCCAUGAAAUUAAACAUUUUAUUAAAUAAAAUCAUUAUGAUGAUGAUGCAACCAAA